GGCUAAUAGAAUUUACAGCCUCCUCUUGCCAAUUAACCUUUUCUAUAAAAGCUUCAUAUAACAUCUUAAAAUCUUUUGGAUCCAAUUGCUGCUGAAGAGGAGACCGGUUAAUGAAACGAGGCGCCUCAACACUGCAUGAUAUGUCAUGUGGUUGAUUAAUGCUACCGUGGUUUAUGACGUGAUCUUGUUCUUUGCUUGGAGAAGUAGAGG
RNAcentral lists this unclassified non-coding RNA (210 nucleotides) under Hevea brasiliensis (rubber tree). Lineage: Eukaryota; Viridiplantae; Streptophyta; Magnoliopsida; Malpighiales; Euphorbiaceae. The record is from RNAcentral.